Molecule: ribosomal RNA, 253 nt
Filed under: uncultured bacterium
Lineage: Bacteria
Description: partial 16S ribosomal RNA
Rfam family: Bacterial small subunit ribosomal RNA
Source: RNAcentral
UACGUAGGGGGCAAGCGUUAUCCGGAUUUACUGGGUGUAAAGGGAGCGUAGACGGCAUGGCAAGUCAGAUGUGAAAGCCCGGGGCUCAACCCCGGGACUGCAUUUGAAACUGUCAGGCUGGAGUGCAGGAGAGGUAAGUGGAAUUCCUAGUGUAGCGGUGAAAUGCGUAGAUAUUAGGAGGAACACCAGUGGCGAAGGCGGCUUACUGGACUGUAACUGACGUUGAGGCUCGAAAGCGUGGGGGGCAAACAGG